RNAcentral lists this ribosomal RNA (1373 nucleotides) under Escherichia coli. RNAcentral describes it as "bacterial LSU rRNA". Lineage: Bacteria; Pseudomonadati; Pseudomonadota; Gammaproteobacteria; Enterobacterales; Enterobacteriaceae. The record is from RNAcentral.
ACUACGGUGCUGAAGCAACAAAUGCCCUGCUUCCAGGAAAAGCCUCUAAGCAUCAGGUAACAUCAAAUCGUACCCCAAACCGACACAGGUGGUCAGGUAGAGAAUACCAAGGCGCUUGAGAGAACUCGGGUGAAGGAACUAGGCAAAAUGGUGCCGUAACUUCGGGAGAAGGCACGCUGAUAUGUAGGUGAAGUCCCUCGCGGAUGGAGCUGAAAUCAGUCGAAGAUACCAGCUGGCUGCAACUGUUUAUUAAAAACACAGCACUGUGCAAACACGAAAGUGGACGUAUACGGUGUGACGCCUGCCCGGUGCCGGAAGGUUAAUUGAUGGGGKUAGCGGUAACGCGAAGCUCUUGAUCGAAGCCCCGGUAAACGGCGGCCGUAACUAUAACGGUCCUAAGGUAGCGAAAUUCCUUGUCGGGUAAGUUCCGACCUGCACGAAUGGCGUAAUGAUGGCCAGGCUGUCUCCACCCGAGACUCAGUGAAAUUGAACUCGCUGUGAAGAUGCAGUGUACCCGCGGCAAGACGGAAAGACCCCGUGAACCUUUACUAUAGCUUGACACUGAACAUUGAGCCUUGAUGUGUAGGAUAGGUGGGAGGCUUWGAAGUGUGGACGCCAGUCUGCAUGGAGCCGACCUUGAAAUACCACCCUUUAAUGUUUGAUGUUCUAACGUUGACCCGUAAUCCGGGUUGCGGACAGUGUCUGGUGGGUAGUUUGACUGGGGCGGUCUCCUCCUAAAGAGUAACGGAGGAGCACGAAGGUUGGCUAAUCCUGGUCGGACAUCAGGAGGUUAGUGCAAUGGCAUAAGCCAGCUUGACUGCGAGCGUGACGGCGCGAGCAGGUGCGAAAGCAGGUCAUAGUGAUCCGGUGGUUCUGAAUGGAAGGGCCAUCGCUCAACGGAUAAAAGGUACUCCGGGGAUAACAGGCUGAUACCGCCCAAGAGUUCAUAUCGACGGCGGUGUUUGGCACCUCGAUGUCGGCUCAUCACAUCCUGGGGCUGAAGUAGGUCCCAAGGGUAUGGCUGUUCGCCAUUUAAAGUGGUACGCGAGCUGGGUUUAGAACGUCGUGAGACAGUUCGGUCCCUAUCUGCCGUGGGCGCUGGAGAACUGAGGGGGGCUGCUCCUAGUACGAGAGGACCGGAGUGGACGCAUCACUGGUGUUCGGGUUGUCAUGCCAAUGGCACUGCCCGGUAGCUAAAUGCGGAAGAGAUAAGUGCUGAAAGCAUCUAAGCACGAAACUUGCCCCGAGAUGAGUUCUCCCUGACUCCUUGAGAGUCCUGAAGGAACGUUGAAGACGACGACGUUGAUAGGCCGGGUGUGUAAGCGCAGCGAUGCGUUGAGCUAACCGGUACUAAUGAACCGUGAGGCUUAACC